GACGAACGCUGGCGGCGUGCUUAACACAUGCAAGUCGAACGGAAAGGCCCUGCUUUUGUGGGGUGCUCGAGUGGCGAACGGGUGAGUAACACGUGAGUAACCUGCCCUUGACUUUGGGAUAACUUCAGGAAACUGGGGCUAAUACCGGAUAGGAUCUCCUGCUGCAUGGUGGGGGUUGGAAAGUUUCGGCGGUUGGGGAUGGACUCGCGGCUUAUCAGCUUGUUGGUGGGGUAGUGGCUUACCAAGGCUUUGACGGGUAGCCGGCCUGAGAGGGUGACCGGCCACAAUGGGACUGAGAUACGGCCCAGACUCCUACGGGAGGCAGCAGUGGGGAAUAUUGCACAGUGGGCGGAAGCCUGAUGCAGCAACGCCGCGUGCGGGAUGACGGCCUUCGGGUUGUAAACCGCUGUCGCCUGUGACGAAGCGUGAGUGACGGUAAUGGGUAAAGAAGCACCGGCUAACUACGUG
RNAcentral lists this ribosomal RNA (468 nucleotides) under uncultured bacterium. Its description in RNAcentral is "partial 16S ribosomal RNA". It matches the Rfam family "Bacterial small subunit ribosomal RNA", at positions 28 to 507 of the family's 1533-position model. The record is from RNAcentral.